Long non-coding RNA from Chinchilla lanigera (long-tailed chinchilla), 1567 nucleotides. RefSeq lists it as uncharacterized. The record is from RefSeq and is a predicted model, not a curated record. Lineage: Eukaryota; Metazoa; Chordata; Mammalia; Rodentia; Chinchillidae. The transcript has 3 exons.
UGAGCUGUCCAAGCCGUGAGCGCUCUGGUCUGCACCGCGGCAGCCUCUCAACGCACCAGGGAGUGUCCGCCGCUGGGCAGCGGGCAGGAGGUCAGGAGAGGCGAGCAACAGAUAGGGCCUGAGCGAUGGGCCAGAGCUGGAAAGAAGCGGCCAUGGCGGGACUGUGGCUCUGAUGGAAUGCGAAGUGAAGGCAGACCGACCUCUGAAAGACGGCCCCGUCCAGGCUGUCCUGACGCUGACCCAGUGCCGAUCCAACAGCUUUCACAAUGAGGAAGUCCUUUGUGCCAGCUAACCUGUAACACUCUUGCUGUUACGGAAAGCUACUCGCUUAGUUCGGCCUUAUGGUGAAAAAACCGUCUUUUUGAUGGAUUUUUCACACUUGAAGUCCUUCAUCCAGGCUACAUCUAGCUGCCUCUUCUCCGGAGAGGUAUGAAAGCCAGCAGGAAGGUCGAGGCUUCGGAACCGCCCCGUCACGCCAUCACUCACAGCCCUGCUGCCGAGCCGCUGUGAGACCCGGCCCACACUCCUGAUUCUGCAGCUUCACACACAAAUGGAGGCAGUGCGGCUAUGUCACAGGGUACGUGUGAGGAACCAAGGUCACAGCGAAGAGCGGUGUUGGCCAAGCAGCCUGAUGUGUCAUGUAGGAGGCAGAUGCCUGGCAUAUAAGAAGCACGGCCAAAGGACUGAGGAAGCGCAUCAGGUGGAUAUCAGGAGACCAAGUUCUGGGCCUGGGCCUGAUACCAGAUCCACGCCCCUUGAUGGCUCUGUCUGUAAUAGGGUCAGGGCCUGGCUCUACGUCCCCUCCCAGGGCCUCCUGGGUAAUAAUGGCAGUCGGGUGCCCCCUGACUACCCUGCGAACCCAGCCAGUGCUCUCACUCCCAGGCGGGCUGCACCAGCCAAUCAGCGCUGAGCGUCUAAGAUUCCGGCUGAACUGUACCCGCGAGUCACGAUCCCGCCCCCACCUCCUGCCCCGACCUUGCUGCAGAGCCUCGCCUUCCCGACAUCCCUCGCGUCUCCCCUCCUCCAGCGUUUCCGCUCAGUCCACUCCCCACCGCCAGGGGAGGGCGCUGCUACGGGAUACCCUCUCAUCCCCUCUGUUUUCUACCGACAACCUCAAGCUCUGGCCCUGGCCUCUCUCCAAGCCCCUUCCUUCCUCAUCGAGGGCCUCGGUGAGCCCAGAACACACCAGCCUCUUGCCGGGGGAGGCACUGCGUGGUUGUCUCUUUGUCCCCAGUGCCCUUUCACCCCUGCCCUCUGCCUGGCGAGCUCAUGCGUGUCCUUCAGGACCCAGCUUGGACACCUGCUCCUCCAGGAGCCAUCUCUGCUGCUUUCCCAAGACACUGAGUGAGGCUCUGCUCACCUGCUGUCGCCCGAGAAUCUCAGUCCUAUAAUGGCAGGGACCAGGCCUUUUCACCAGUUCCCUGGCACCAGUGCUUGUCUCUGUCCUUGGUCCAAUGUUUGGUACCUAAAAGUACCUUAUUGGUGGAAUGAAUAUGAGCCAAUUAUCUCAGGUGAAUUUAAAACUGGUUUUAACAUCUGUCAUUGAUUAAAAUAGCAACUGGGAGAA